Molecule: long non-coding RNA, 1096 nt
Organism: Lates calcarifer (barramundi perch)
Lineage: Eukaryota; Metazoa; Chordata; Actinopteri; Centropomidae
Exons: 5
Source: RefSeq, a predicted model, not a curated record
AUAGAUAGAUGUUUUAUUUAUUUUUUAUGUUAGCUGACGUAUGUCGUCAUUGCCGCGACGUGUCUUCUCAUUGGUUACGACCUUCUGGGAGGAGCCAAGUGGAGAAACGAAGCCUGAAAACAGAUUUGAACCGUUGCUUCUGUUUGCUGGUCCUGUGAGAAAAUGUCGUUACCGAAGAGGCAUGGAUAUUAAAACUAAAAGCUAAAACAAUUUCUGGAGCAGUUUUUGUCAAACACGAGUGAGACUGGACGCUGAACACAUCUGCAGCGCAAAGGUUUACUGAUUCAGCUGCUGCAGCCUGGACAGAAUCACCAGCUCUCACCUUACAAACCAAACAGGUGUCACCACUUUGUCUAUGAUCGCAGAGAGUCUUCGUAGAUUGAAGAAAUUCUUUCAGACCAAGACAGAGGCUUCCAGGAUUCAAACUUCUACCAUUGAAUCACAGAGAGAAGAGACAGACAUGAAGACAUUUCCAGAAGGUCUUCAGCUGCUGUUGUCUUCUCCUGCAGAGACAAGAACAUGUGUUAAUCACAGAAAAGUUUUACAGAAUACUUUUCUUUAAUUUUUUAAAUGUUUUUAUGCUUUACUGUACUAUGGGAUUUUUUGACAACUUACUAUAUAUACUAUGACAUGUGGCUUGAGACAAAGACAUUCUCUUUAAGUAGCCAUCUUACCUUUGUUUUCCAUAGACACACAUUCACAUCUCUACACAGGUUAGAUUAUUAUUUUGGUAUUUUGCCAGAGUGCAAUAUCAGUACUUCCGUCUAUUACUGUGUGCAUAGUCCUGUUUAUACUGUUCAUAUUGUUUAUAAUUUUGAUAUAUUAUCUUUUUAUAUUUGCCAUAAUUUCCGGACUAUAAGCCACUACUUUUUUCACACACUUUGAACCUUGCAACUUAAACAAUGAUGUAGCUAAUUUAUAGAUUUUUAUGGGCUAUCGAGAUUCAUGCCGCAAAAACAUUUAGACACCUGCAGCUUAUAGUCAGGUCCGCUCAAUAGUCCGGAAAUUACGGUAUAUAAUGCCUUUUUCUAUUUGUACUGUUGCAGCACUCAAAUAAAUACUUCUGAAAACUGAAUAUUUUUCUGGUCUGUUUGAU